GUCUGUUUAUGUCAUGGCUGUGUUAGUGAGGUCCUGUUACCGUUGGUCUCUGUUGGGUGUCUGUUUAUGUCAUGGCUGCGUUAGUGAGGUCCUGUUACCGUUGGUCUCUGUUGGGUGUCUGUUUAUGUCAUGGCUGUGUUAGUGAGGUCCUGUUACCGUUGGUCUCUGUUGGGUGUCUGUUUAUGUCAUAGCUGCGUUA
Molecule: long non-coding RNA, 199 nt
Organism: Homarus americanus (American lobster)
Lineage: Eukaryota; Metazoa; Arthropoda; Malacostraca; Decapoda; Nephropidae
Exons: 3
Source: RefSeq, a predicted model, not a curated record